Molecule: transfer RNA, 77 nt
Filed under: Burkholderiales bacterium
Lineage: Bacteria; Pseudomonadati; Pseudomonadota; Betaproteobacteria; Burkholderiales
Also listed under: 1 other name
Description: tRNA-Met
Rfam family: tRNA
About the family: Transfer RNA (tRNA) molecules are approximately 80 nucleotides in length. Their secondary structure includes four short double-helical elements and three loops (D, anti-codon, and T loops).
Source: RNAcentral
GGGCCUAUAGCUCAGUUGGUUAGAGCAGGGGACUCAUAAUCCCUUGGUCGGGGGUUCAAGUCCCUCUGGGCCUACCA